GUGGCAGGAGCAAAGCUAGAAGCACCCUUCGUAAAUAAUAAUAAUAAUGUUAAAUAUAAUAACUGAAGGGAUUUGGGGGGAGUGGUGUGGCAGGAGUGAAGCUAGAAGUAAAUAGUAAUAGUAGUAAUUUGCUUAACAAUAUAUUAUUAUUAUUAUUAUUAUUAUUAUUAUCUUGCAUUUCAACUUACUAUUAUCCCAUUCACCUUAAGGUCCCAGGACCUUAAUUAACAGUCAAUGUAACGAAUAAUAAUAAUGGGGAAAGUAUAUAAUUUACCUGAAAAACUACUUUAAACAACUAAAUUCAUUAGCAGGAGUGAUGUAAAACUUAUAGCUAAAAAAAAAUGAAAUAAGGAUUAGUAAAAAUUGGAAUGAUAGAAGAGAUGCAGGGGGAAUAAUUAUAACUCAAGGAUCCACAAAUGGGGAAGGAGGGAAGCCAAAGGGAUAUGUGUUUUAUUUUUUUCUUACUUGACACUUCUAAACUUUGAAAAAAUAAUUUUUUAAAAAUAUGAUGGUGAUGGUGAUAUUUAUACCCCACCCCUCUGGCGGGUCUCCCCAGCUACUCUGGGUGGCUUCCAGCACAUAUAAAAACAUAAUAAAACAUCAAACAUUUAAAACUUCCCGAUACAAGGCUGCCUUCAGAUGUCUUCUAAAAGUUGUGUAGAAUAAUACCUUUAUUAAAACACAGUGUUAAACAAAACAGUUCAAAGCAACUUCACAGUCACAUUUUAAAAAUGCAUUGUGCGGAAUACGUUUGAAAUGGUACACGCUCGUUCAUAGACAUGCCAGGAAAAGUUUCACCUGCUAAAUGCCUGCCUGUUAGGCAGAGGAUAAAGUUACAGAAGUCUCUGGUGUUUAACAACAUGUACAGAGCAACACCCCGCCCCACCCCCUUAGAGCCUUUAAAAUGUGAUGCUUCACUUUCUCCUGUUGUUUGUCCCGGUACAAAACAAUCCUGUUUAGCCUGCUUCAUGCAUUAUACACUAAAAAUGCUUGAUUGUAAUGAAACCUCACAGUGUUUUACAAAAAGAAUGAAACAGUAAAAUUAUCAGUAAAGAAACUUAAAACCAACUAUUUAAAACCUAAGUAAAAUCAAUUGUAAGCUAAAAACCAGAUUAAAACAUGUUCCACACGAACAUGUUUUUAGCCGGUGCCGAAAAAGUAUAGUGAAGGCACCUGCCUGGUGUCAAUAUGCAGGGAGUGCCAAUGCGUGGGUACAGCCACAUAAAAAAAUCAAUUUCUUAAAAAUGUGGAACAGGAAUUAAGUGACACCUGCAACAGGACCAGUUCCGCAGAUCAAAGCAGUUGAGUGGGAAUAAAUUGGGUAAGGUAAUAUCACAAGCAAGCUGGUCCCAAGCUGUUAUGGGCUUCAAAUACUAAUAGUAACACCUUGAACUUGGCUCUGUAGCACAUCUGCCACCAGUGCAGGUCCCUAAGUACUUGGUGUACUCAGCGAGCAAUGUAAAUAUAAGUCAGCAUGAAAUAGCAGGUUAUUAUUAUUAUUACUCUUAUAAUUACUAUUUAUUUUGUGCCCGAUGUCUUGUGAGAGAAUUUUUAACCGCUGGCUUUAAUGUCUUCUUCAAUGCUGAGUUUGUACAAUGUUUAUGGAUUUAUUGUAUGCUUCUACGUUUUGUUACGGUGUUUGGUUUUUGCAAACCACCUUGUCAAUAUUUUUGAGAAAAGGCAGCUUCAGAAUUCUGAAAAUAGAAGAUUGGUAUGAUGCCAGCAUUGAUUAAAAGUUUCCAAAAUUUGUUUGAAACAAUACACUUAAAAAGAACUAAAGUUAAUGUGUCCCUGGACUCCAAAGUAAAUUUAUGUGACCCUGAAACUCAAAAUAAAUGGGAUACCCUAUAU
This is a non-coding RNA of Podarcis lilfordi (Lilford's wall lizard), 1851 nucleotides long. Lineage: Eukaryota; Metazoa; Chordata; Lepidosauria; Squamata; Lacertidae. The record is from the annotation of a GenBank genome assembly.